Molecule: long non-coding RNA, 209 nt
Filed under: Mytilus galloprovincialis (Mediterranean mussel)
Lineage: Eukaryota; Metazoa; Mollusca; Bivalvia; Mytilida; Mytilidae
Source: RNAcentral
CUCAGGUGCUCUGGAAGGGUAAGCAGAUCCUGCACCACAUGUGGCACCCGUCGUGUUGCUUAUGUGAUAACAAAUCCGGUAAAUAGUAUAAUUCGGUAGGUCACAUUCAUGAAAGGGAAGGGGAUUGUAGUUACGACGUAAGGAACAUAUCCGAUAUCAUUUGUGAAACGGUUAUUCCAUAAAAGUCAAUCAACUCGUGAUGGCGUCCG